UUGGCCGAAAUAUUUAGUUAAGUUACGUUACGGAAAUUAAGUCUAGACUAACUGAGCUUUUAAACUGGCAAAAUAUAGUGACACUUCCAUCACAGGGCGAAGAUAUAGCGGCACACUCACGUGGUUGCCAAAUUGUCUGAAACGGUUUUAGCUGUUAAUGAUUGGUUAGUUAAACCUUUGCUCGUUUUUGGAUGCCGAGCGUGAGGAUCAUAUAUGAAUGCCGAAUUUUAAGGAGGAUAUAAUAAUAUUAAUUAUGCGAUAAAAGCAUCGCAGCCCUUGUAAGAAUAUAUUGUCGAUAUUGCAAUAUAGUAGGGCGCAGAUGGACUAAAAUCAUAGAUAUUUCUACAAAUAGGAAGCGCCAAAAAGCAAGCGAACACAGAACAUAACGUCAAACAUUAUUAACUUAUGGACGUGGCUGUUGUAUGUCAUGAGCCCGAUCUAAUGGAGGGCAACAGCUUGGAGAAGAGUGCACACAAUUGUCCCUGUCGGGUAGUAGGAAAGUGAGACAGUCGAUUGUUCGAAAUAUGGUUCUUCGUAAACUUUCUUUUGCGCAUUGAUUCGCAUAAAUAUUUUUAUUAAUUCUGGCACAUACUGAUUUCAGAUCCCGUUGUUUUUGAGAAUAAUUUUUUGCCAUUUUCUUUGUUGUUACUUAACGCGUUUUUUUUAUUUUCUCUAGCAUGGGUUAUUGUUUACUUAUCGCUUGGGGAAUGUAAACAAAACAAAUACAUAAGUUUGACAUAACAGCCAUCACGGCGAAAGAAAAAAAUUAAAUAAAAUUGGCUGAUCAGGUAACACCACCUUGAUAAAUUCGCCUUGUUAUCUUUGGAGUUCUGUUAGAUGCGACGGUUUUUUUUCACUGAUUUAAAAAAUUACGUUUGCGUUUGGGUGUUUGCCGUGUUUUACCUAUUCGACAAGUCAACCUAAAAUGCCACGACUGACGCAAAGUGGAGUUUGGUCUUAUUUUAAAUUAGAUGAGCAUGAUCGAGAGAAAUCCAAGUGUAAUAUAUGUAAUAAAAUAUAUUCUCGCAAGGGUCGUACAACCUCGUCUUUGAGGAAUCAUUUGAAAUCAAUGCACCCGGAGCAGUUUAGUCUGGUUGAAAGCGAUGAUAACGAAAUUCAGUUGCAAAAAAAAGAGAUGAAUCAGGUAAGUUUUAACAUAAUGAAUUUAUUAUUCUCGAAAAAGAUUAAUUCGUGUCAUCAGUUAGUUGUACACAGAACCCAGAUUAAGUAGGCAUACUAUUUUUUUACGUAAAUUGGAGGGAAGUCUAUAAAUUAAACUAAAUUAGAAAGGAACUUCUAUUCUGCGUUCAUCGGUGGGAGAAGCACAAACUCUUUAACUUUACGGCCCCAACCCAAAUGGAUUUUUGUUACAUGUUUUUGUUAUUUUGACACUAGUCUUAACUGUUUUCGUAUGAUAUGUAUAUUUAAUUCAAUUCUAAAUAUAGUUUAGGUCAUUUUAUUUAUUAUUUUUCAACAUGAUGAAUAUGCCUUGAAUAAAGUUUAUUUACUGUGUAUACAUAAGUAUGUAUUGCUUUUUCAGAUAAAAAUGACACUCCGUUGCAAAAAGCUAAAACACAACUAUCUUUGGAAGAUGCAUUUCAAAAAGAAAAAAAGUGGGACACUAACAAUACGAAUUCGAAGAAAAUUGACAAACUCAUUGGAGAAAUGAUUGCACUACAAAAUUUACCAUUUUAUUUUGUGAAGGGUGUAGGAUUUAGGAGAUUAAUGCAAGAAAUAGCGCCAAAAUUGACAUUUGGACGGAUCCAAGCUCGAAUGCUUCUUAGCUUAGCCUGACUUGCCACGGAAUAUCGGAAAACUUCAGUUAUAUUGAAAUGUGAGAAUUUUGACGAUCGUCACACGGGGGAUAUAAUAACCGAAAAGUAUGACAUAAUGCUCACUGAAUGGAAUAUCAGAAAAAACAAGUGCAUUGCAUAAUUCGUGACGAAGGCUCCAACAUGAAAAGAGCUAUGCGAUUAGCAGAAUUAAACGAUAUGGAUUGUACAGUCCACAAGAUGCAGCUUACUAUUCAACGCUGUUUACAGUCGCAAAAAAAUAUAAAAGAUAUCAAACAAAAAUGCAAAAAAAUUUCAACUCAUUUUAACCAUUCCACGAUCGUUCGGAAAAAACUGCAAAAAAUUCAGGACCGACUGAAUCAACCGCACUCAACGUGUUCCAAGACUGCAACACGCAAUGGAACAGUUCCUUGUAUAUGUUCGAGCAAUUUUUAAAGAUAAAAGAUGAGUUGAGUCUUUACAUGACCGACAGUGACAUGGUCCCAAUUUUGCCAGAGGAGUGGAAGAUUAUGGAAUCUUGUGUUGAGCUAUUAAAAUCUUUUGAAGAAGCCAAACGGGAACUAAGAAGCUCUGAGACCCUCAUAUCAUCCGUGAUUCCAAUAAUUCAAAUGCUUAUAAAAAAACUGGGAGACUUUUUAGCCAAAUCACAAUAUUCUGUUCCGAUUCGGCUUCUACGACUUUGAAAACAGAAUUUUGUUCGAAAUUUUCAUCCCUGGAAAAUGAUAAUUUAUUUGCCAUAUCCACCUAUUUAGACCCCCGCACACAAUUUUUCAAACCAGUCACAGAAGAAAGAAUUAAAAAUUAAUUACAAAGUCUAAAGUCGAAAGACACUGAUGAACCUGUUAUUUCCCCGAAUUCUGAAACAGCCAAAAGAAUGAGAAUGAGAAAUUCUUUGGAAAAAGAUUUAGAAAACCCCGAAGCAUCUGGUUCGACUAGUAAGCGAUGUUUAAAGAGCGAUCUUGCCAUUAUGCUAGACUCUUCAAGUGAAGAUGAAAAUCAGGAGGAUUCACCCGACAUUAGCAGUUCCGAUGCAAUUCUCAAAAAGGAAUUAUCCUUGUACCGCAAUAAAAAAAAGAAUUAUUAUUACUGAAAGUCCCCUGAAAUAGUGGAGUGUCAAUCGAAACAAGUUUAAAAUAUUGUCAAGUUUCGCACGCAGAUAUAUGUCGCCUCCACCAGCAAGUGUUCCGAGGGAGCAGUUAUUUAGUAGCGCAGGUUUAAUUUACGACAUUACAGCAUUACUUUUUAUUAAAUACUAGCAGACCCGGCGAACUUCGUCCCGCCCAAAAUUU
Long non-coding RNA from Rhagoletis pomonella (apple maggot), 3082 nucleotides. RefSeq lists it as uncharacterized. The record is from RefSeq and is a predicted model, not a curated record. The transcript has 2 exons. NCBI's taxonomy places the organism in Eukaryota, Metazoa, Arthropoda, Insecta, Diptera, Tephritidae.